Molecule: ribosomal RNA, 301 nt
Filed under: uncultured bacterium
Lineage: Bacteria
Description: partial 16S ribosomal RNA
Rfam family: Bacterial small subunit ribosomal RNA
Source: RNAcentral
CAGUCGCCGCGGUAAUACGGAGGGUGCAAGCGUUAUCCGGAUUUAUUGGGUUUAAAGGGUCCGUAUGCGGACUUAUAAGUCAGUGGUGAAAGCCUGUCGCUUAACGAUAGAACUGCCAUUGAUACUGUAAGUCUUGAGUAUAUUUGAGGUAGCUGGAAUAAGUAGUGUAGCGGUGAAAUGCAUAGAUAUUACUUAGAACACCAAUUGCGAAGGCAGGUUACCAAGAUAUAACUGACGCUGAGGGACGAAAGCGUGGGUAGCGAACAGGAUUAGAUACCCCCGUAGUCCCUGUCUCUUAUAU